GAUGAACGCUGGCGGCGUGCCUAAUACAUGCAAGUCGAGCGAACAGACGAGGAGCUUGCUCCUCUGACGUUAGCGGCGGACGGGUGAGUAACACGUGGAUAACCUACCUAUAAGACUGGGAUAACUUCGGGAAACCGGAGCUAAUACCGGAUAAUAUAUUGAACCGCAUGGUUCAAUAGUGAAAGACGGUUUUGCUGUCACUUAUAGAUGGAUCCGCGCCGCAUUAGCUAGUUGGUAAGGUAACGGCUUACCAAGGCAACGAUGCGUAGCCGACCUGAGAGGGUGACCGGCCACACUGGAACUGAGAAACGGGCCAGACUCCUACGGGAGGCAGCAGUAGGGAAUCUUCCGCAAUGGGCGAAGGCCUGAAGGAGCAACGCCGCGUGGGUGAUGAAGGUCUUCGGAUUGUAAAACUCUUUUAUUAGGGAAGAACAAAUGUGUAAGUAACUAUGCGCGUCUUGACGGUACCUAAUCAAAAAGCCACGGCUAACUACGUG
RNAcentral lists this ribosomal RNA (497 nucleotides) under uncultured bacterium. RNAcentral's name for it is "partial 16S ribosomal RNA". It matches the Rfam family "Bacterial small subunit ribosomal RNA", at positions 28 to 507 of the family's 1533-position model. The record is from RNAcentral.